This 267-nucleotide unclassified non-coding RNA is filed under the name plant metagenome. RNAcentral's name for it is "partial contains small subunit ribosomal RNA, internal transcribed spacer 1, and 5.8S ribosomal RNA". The record is from RNAcentral.
UUUCCGUAGGUGAACCUGCGGAAGGAUCAUUAUCGUACAAAAUGUGAGGGGCAUGCGAGGGCUGUCGCUGACCCAAGAGUCGUGCACGCCCGAGUGUGUCCUCUUGCAUAAUAAUCCAUCUCACCCUUUGUGCAUCACCGCGUGGGCACCCUUCGGGAUCAUCUCGGAGGGGGGCUCGCGUUUUCACACAAACCCCCCUUUUAAAAGUGUAGAAUGACCACAUUUAUGCAAUCAAUACAACUUUCAACAACGGAUCUCUUGGCUCUC